GACGAACGCUGGCGGCGUGCUUAACACAUGCAAGUCGAACGAUGACGACCGAGCUUGCUCGGUCUGAUUAGUGGCGAACGGGUGAGUAACACGUGAGCAACCUGCCCUUCACUCUGGGAUAACCUCGGGAAAUCGGGGCUGAUACCGGAUAUGAGCUCCUGUCGCAUGGCGGGUGUUGGAAAGUUUUUCGGUGAAGGAUGGGCUCGCGGCCUAUCAGUUUGUUGGUGAGGUAGUGGCUCACCAAGGCGAUGACGGGUAGCCGGCCUGAGAGGGCGACCGGCCACACUGGGACUGAGACACGGCCCAGACUCCUACGGGAGGCAGCAGUGGGGAAUAUUGCACAAUGGGCGAAAGCCUGAUGCAGCGACGCCGCGUGAGGGAUGACGGCCUUCGGGUUGUAAACCUCUUUCAGCAGGGAAGAAGCGAAAGUGACGGUACCUGCAGAAGAAGCGCCGGCUAACUACGUG
Molecule: ribosomal RNA, 467 nt
Filed under: uncultured bacterium
Lineage: Bacteria
Description: partial 16S ribosomal RNA
Rfam family: Bacterial small subunit ribosomal RNA
Source: RNAcentral